Molecule: ribosomal RNA, 399 nt
Filed under: uncultured bacterium
Lineage: Bacteria
Description: bacterial SSU rRNA
Rfam family: Bacterial small subunit ribosomal RNA
Source: RNAcentral
AAUCAACGCUGGCGGCGUGCCUCAGACAUGCAAGUCGAACGAUUAAACUUUCCUUCGGGAAAGAUAUAAAGUGGCGCACGGGUGAGUAACACGUAGAUAAUGUACCUUUGGGUGGGGAAUAACAGUCGGAACGACUGCUAAUACCGCAUAAUGCAGCGGCAUCGCAAGAUGACAAUUGUUAAAGACGAGCAAUCGCGCCUAAAGAGCAGUCUGCGGCAGAUUAGGUAGUUGGUAAGGUAAUGGCUUACCAAGCCUGCGAUCUGUAACCGACCUGAGAGGGUGGUCGGUCACACUGACACUGAAUAACGGGUCAGACUCCUACGGGAGGCAGCAGUCGGGAAUUUUGGGCAAUGGGCGAAAGCCUGACCCAGCAACGCCGCGUGAAGGACGAAGUCUUUC